CUUUUCUAUCAUUGUGACGAAUACGCACACGGUAAUAAAAUUUUAUCAUCGAUAUCGAAUACAGAUUUCAGAAAAUUGGUGUCAUAUUGCGAGGCUAAUAACGACUGUUUAGAUAAAGAAUGUUGUGACCUCAUUUUUUUACAGGAAGAGUUCUCACAAUGCACUUUAUGACACAAACAUGCAUUAUUAUUUUUGCAAUUUUAAUUUCAAAUAUUACGACAAAACCUCAAAACUUACCAACGUUACGCAUUGAUGAACAUGUAACAGUUGACAAAGAAAAAACAUUUAUUACAUUAAAUUGAAAAAUAAUACGGAUAUAACGAAAAAAAAGUACUGUAUUUCAUUGAUUAGAACGAU
Molecule: long non-coding RNA, 357 nt
Organism: Nylanderia fulva
Lineage: Eukaryota; Metazoa; Arthropoda; Insecta; Hymenoptera; Formicidae
Source: RefSeq, a predicted model, not a curated record